This is a long non-coding RNA of Pangasianodon hypophthalmus (striped catfish), 1555 nucleotides long. RefSeq lists it as uncharacterized. The transcript has 4 exons. The record is from RefSeq and is a predicted model, not a curated record. NCBI's taxonomy places the organism in Eukaryota, Metazoa, Chordata, Actinopteri, Siluriformes, Pangasiidae.
UUUUUGUUUCUCUUAGCUUUUGUGUUUUCUGUUUUUGACCCUGCUCAUAGUUUCAAUUUUGAUUUAUGGAUUAUCCUUGUGUGAAGUUACCUGCCUGUGUUCUCACCUCUGUAGAGAUUAUGUAUAGAGACUAUGACACUUUCACUCAACACACUUUGUGUUCAGUGAUUUUACACUUUUGUGGCUUCUUGGUAACAUAACAAGCUAUGUUUUUGUUCUGUAGUUUUAUUAACUUGAUGAUAUAAAAUAAAAAGAGAAGGACAACUGUUUAUAGCUGCUAUAAGUUUGGACCAAGUUCCUGUGUGUAUAUAAAGGGCAAAUAUAACACAGAAGAAGAAGAAGAAGCACAUCAGGAGUCAUCAGCAGGAGCACCAGACUGCUUACAGCAGUGUUCUACAUUUUUUUUUCUUGUCCAACAUCUUUGCUGCAGCGGCAGUCAAAGCUUCCUGUCAGAUUGCAGUUUCUUUUUACACAUUGUUUUCACACUGUAAAAUGAGCGUUACUUUUUUUCAGUGUUAACAUUUUGUCUUGUCAACACUGGAAUCGGCACUGGACUCCAUUUCUCCCAAUGCACUACUGCCUACAAACAUGGACAUUACGGAGUACAACACCCAUGCACCGCGUUCAUUGUCACAUUCAGUCACUCAAUUUCUGAUAACACACUUGGGCCCAAUCCCAUUUCUACCCCUUAGCCCUUCCCCUUUCCCCUACCGCUCCGUUUCGCGUGUUCAUAUGAAGGGGUAGGUGUCUUGAUUCUCUUUUGGUUGGAGGGGUAGAGGUAAGGGGAAAGGCCAGACAGCCCUUCAAACGAAGAUUUUUCGGGACCACACUUCAAAUGAAGGGGUAUGAAUUCUCAGUGUGUGAACAAAAAGACCCACAAAUGUAAGCAUUAUUGACGUUAAUAAAGAUUUUAAUGAAUAUAAAUCAUUUGUUUUGUUACAUUCAAUCGUGUGUUCAUAUUUAUGGUGAUGUUAUUUUCAUAAACAUAUUUUCAUGUCUGAUGGCUGUAACCACAGAAGACAUUUAGAAAUCGAUAUUUAGAAAUCGCUAAACUUUUUUCUCAAAUAUUGCCAAUUCGAGAGAGAGAAUUAGGACCUAGAUGACGUAUGAUGACGUGUAACAGUAUAGUAGUGGUGUCCCGAUUCUUAGGGGAAUAUUUUCACCCCUACCCCUUGACACUCUGUUUCAAGGGACAAGGGGAAUGGGGUAGGCAUAGGGGUAGGGGUAGGGGUAGGUGAAGGGGUAUAAAAUAGAAUUGGGAUUGGGCCUUGGACUCUAUUACCACACACACUAUUUAAGCACAUUCACUGCAACAACCCAUUGCCAAGGUUUUGUUCAGUUCCUGUUCUCACCUGACAUACUAAGCCUUUGUUUGAUGGUUACUAAUUCUGGUUUGAACCCUUGUUUUUGCCUUUGACUUUUGUCUUGUUCUUUGAUAUCAAUUUGUACAGCAGCUGAUGAUCUGCCUGUUUAAUGUUCUUGAGCUUUGCCUCAUGAUUUGGAUUUGUUUACUAUUGCCAGUGAUUUUAAUAAAGAUCAUCCUCUGCAAUUAUUA